RNAcentral lists this ribosomal RNA (467 nucleotides) under uncultured bacterium. Its description in RNAcentral is "partial 16S ribosomal RNA". It matches the Rfam family "Bacterial small subunit ribosomal RNA", at positions 28 to 506 of the family's 1533-position model. The record is from RNAcentral.
GACGAACGCUGGCGGCGUGCUUAACACAUGCAAGUCGAACGGCAGGGCCCUGCUUUUGUGGGGUGCUCGAGUGGCGAACGGGUGAGUAACACGUGAGUAACCUGCCCUUGACUUUGGGAUAACUUCAGGAAACUGGGGCUAAUACCGGAUAGGAGCUCCUGCUGCAUGGUGGGGGUUGGAAAGUUUCGGCGGUUGGGGAUGGACUCGCGGCUUAUCAGCUUGUUGGUGGGGUAGUGGCUUACCAAGGCUUUGACGGGUAGCCGGCCUGAGAGGGUGAACGGCCACAUUGGGACUGAGUUACAGCCCAGACUCCUACGGGAGGGAGCAGUGGGGAAUAUUGCACAAUGGGCGGAAGCCUGCUGCAGCAACGCCGCGUGCGUGAUGACGGCCUUCGGGUGGGAAACAGCUUUCGCCUGUGACGCAGCGUGAGUGACGGUAAUGGGGAAAGAAGCACCGGCUAACUACGU